AACGCGAAGAACCUUACCUGGCCUUGACAUGCAAGUGGUAGAACCAUGAAAGUGGGACGACCCCGCAAGGGGGUCCAGUCGAGGUGCUGCAUGGCUGUCGUCAGCUCGUGUCGUGAGAUGUUGGGUUAAGUCCCGCAACGAGCGCAACCCUUGUCCCUGUGUUGCCAUCAUUCAGUUGGGAACUCGCAGGAGACCGCCAGGGAUAACCUGGAGGAAGGUGGGGAUGACGUCAAGUCCUCAUGGCCUUUAUGUCCAGGGCUACACACGUGCUACAAUGGCCGGUACAAACCGCAGCAAACCCGCGAGGGGGAGCCAAUCGGAAAAAACCGGUCUCAGUUCGGAUUGCAGGCUGCAACUCGCCUGCAUGAAGCUGGAAUCGCUAGUAAUGGCAGAUCAGCACGCUGCCGUGAAUACGUUCCCGGGCCUUGUACACACCGACAUA
RNAcentral lists this ribosomal RNA (442 nucleotides) under uncultured bacterium. RNAcentral describes it as "bacterial SSU rRNA". It matches the Rfam family "Bacterial small subunit ribosomal RNA", at positions 958 to 1397 of the family's 1533-position model. The record is from RNAcentral.